UUUCCCAUUGAUUUGCUGCUCUCGUCUCCCCAGUGGCAUGAGCAGUUAUACGCGUGGGAUAGAACAAUGCCGGACCGCUGUGGACGGGGGUGGGGUGGCCGUGCCACCUCUCUUGCACGUGUGGUCCGGACACGG
Small nucleolar RNA from Phyllostomus hastatus (greater spear-nosed bat), 135 nucleotides. RefSeq annotates it as small nucleolar RNA SNORA20. The record is from RefSeq and is a predicted model, not a curated record. The transcript has a single exon. NCBI's taxonomy places the organism in Eukaryota, Metazoa, Chordata, Mammalia, Chiroptera, Phyllostomidae.